GAUGAACGCUGGCGGCGUGCCUAAUACAUGCAAGUCGAGCGAACGGACGAGAAGCUUGCUUCUCUGAUGUUAGCGGCGGACGGGUGAGUAACACGUGGAUAACCUACCUAUAAGACUGGGAUAACUUCGGGAAACCGGAGCUAAUACCGGAUAAUAUUUUGAACCGCAUGGUUCAAAAGUGAAAGACGGUCUUGCUGUCACUUAUAGAUGGAUCCGCGCUGCAUUAGCUAGUUGGUAAGGUAACGGCUUACCAAGGCAACGAUGCAUAGCCGACCUGAGAGGGUGAUCAGCCACACUGGAACUGAGACGCGGUCCAGACUCCUACGGGAGGCAGCAGUAGGGAAUCUUCCGCAAUGGGCGAAAGCCUGACGGAGCAACGCCGCGUGAGUGAUGAAGGUCUUCGGAUCGUAAAACUCUGUUAUUAGGGAAGAACAUAUGUGUAAGUAACUGUGCACAUCUUGACGGUACCUAAUCAGAAAGCCACGGCUAACUACGUG
RNAcentral lists this ribosomal RNA (497 nucleotides) under uncultured bacterium. RNAcentral's name for it is "partial 16S ribosomal RNA". It matches the Rfam family "Bacterial small subunit ribosomal RNA", at positions 28 to 507 of the family's 1533-position model. The record is from RNAcentral.